GCUUCUAUUAUCACGCCUAGUGGUUUACUAAGGCUCACCAACAAAACACAAAACGCUGUAGGGCAUGCAUUUUAUUCCAAACCAAUACAGAUGCUUGACACCAGUUCAAAUUCUUCUCCAAAUGCUUCAUCUUUCAGCACAACCUUUGUCUUUCAGAUAGUCUCUCCAAAAGGAAAAGGAGGCCACGGCCUUGCUUUCGCCUUAGCUCCCUCCAAACAGCUUCCCGGGGCUGCCGCGGAGCAUUACCUUGGUCUUUUCAACCCUACAAAUAAUGGUAAUAGCUCGAACCAUAUUUUCGCUGUUGAAUUUGACACGGUUAAUGGGUUCAACGAUAAUUCAGACACUGAAGGAAAUCAUGUUGGAGUCAACAUUAACGGCAUGCGUUCGAACUCAUCAAGGGCAGCUUCCUAUAGCGAGGAUGACAACGCAAACCUGUAUGAAGAUUUGAUGUUGGAGAGUGGCGAACGUAUUCAAGCCUGGAUAGAAUAUGAUGGUGCGGCUAAACUUGUUAAUGUAACAAUAGGUCCCAUGGGGCAAGGCAGACCGAUUCGACCACUCAUUUCUGCUAGCGAAGAUCUAAGCACAGUUGUUAAGGAUAGCAUGUAUGCUGGUUUCUCUUCCUCUACUGGUAAAAAGACAAGCUCUCAUUACAUACUGGGAUGGAGUUUUUCCACUGAAGGAGCUGCCCCUCCGCUCGAUCUUUCUCGACUUCCCGAAGCACCAAAAUUUGAGGAAAGUUCAUCCUCUUUCCAACCCUCAGUGAUUGCUAUUAUCGCUUCUUUAUGCGGUGUGACCACUAUUCUGUUUGCAAUACUGUUCUUCCAUGCUGUGUACAGAAAGUGGCCUCGGUCUGAGGCUCUUGAAGACUGGGAAGUGGAUUGUCCACACAGGUUUCGCUAUCAGGAUCUACAUACGGCAACUAAGGGUUUUAAAAAGAGUGAGAUAAUUGGGGCUGGUGGGUUUGGUGCGGUGUACAGAGGUAGAUUGCCUACAAACGGAAAUGAAGUUGCUGUUAAGAGGAUCACUACCAAUUCAGUCCAGGGUUUGAGAGGAUUCACUGCGGAGAUCGAGAGCCUGGGACGUUUAAGGCACAAGAACUUGGUGAAUCUCCAAGGAUGGUGUAAGAGAAAUAAUGACCUCCUCGUGGUUUAUGACUACAUCCCAAAUGGAUCCCUUGCCGGUCUCCUUUUCAGUCGGGGAAACAACUUUGUACUGAGCUGGGAGCAAAGAUUCAAUAUUGUUAAAGGCAUUGCGGCGGGGCUUUUGUAUCUGCAUGAGGAAUGGGAGCAAGUGGUGAUUCACAGAGAUGUCAAGUCAAGCAAUGUCCUGAUAGACGCAGGAAUGAACGGGCGGUUAGGAGACUUUGGUCUAGCCAGGUUGUAUGAUCAUGGAACCAUGUCGUACACCACAAAUAUUGUUGGCACGGUUGGGUAUAUCGCACCUGAAUUGACACGGACCGGUCAGGCUUCUACCAGUUCCGAUGUGUACGCAUACAGUAUUCUGCUCCUUGAAGUGGCUUGUGGCAGAAAGCCGAUUGAAACGAGUAACUUCAUCCUGACAGAUUUCGUGAUUGAAUGCCAUCAAAAGGGUAGAGUUCUUGAUGCAGCUGAUCCAGAGCUGAAGUCCGCCUUCGUGGUCAAGGAAAUGGAGGUGGUGCUGGGGUUGGGUCUUCUGUGUUCUCAUCACAAGCCUAAAGCCAGGCCAACCAUGAGAGAAGUCAUACGGUAUCUCAACUGGGAAGACAAGCUCCCAGUGAUUGAUGAUCUGGGCUCUUCUGAUUCUCCAUGUAGGAGCUCAAGAUAUAAGGGAGAGGUUUCCAUUGAAAUGAUCACAAAUUCCAUGGAUGCUGGCAGAUAGCAGAAUCCAUCUUCCUCCUGUUUCUUCCUCGUCAACAGCCUUUUUAGCUUAAAGUUUUAUGUACGUUGACAAGGGUUAAUUUUCAAGUCUUGUAAUGGUUCCAUCAUUAACCAUUUAUUCCCUCCCAAUAAUGCAGAACAGUACAUUGAUUCUUGACUUUAUCACCAUGACUUUUUGUCUGAACUCCACUUGCAUGGGUUUACCAAAAGCGCCAACACGUGGUUAUCCUAGUACAGUAAAAUAUUAUCCUCUUAGUUUUUUAUAUUUUAAAAAAAAAUUAAAAAAAAUUAAAAUUUAAAAAAAAAUUACAAAAUUUCUUUUUUUAGUAUUUUUAUAUCAUUUUAAUUUACUAGUAUUAAAAAUAAUUUUUAAAAAAUAUAAAAAUAUUAUUUUAAGAGAUUUCCAAAUAAAAUUAUUUUAAAAAUUAAUAAAUACUAUAAUCCCAUCUUUACCGACUUUAGUUCAUGACUCAAGUGAAGGCCCUUCGUCACUUAUUUUAAUAAUCAAAAUAAUUGCAUUUAUCUUUUGCUAGAAUUUUAUGUUGAAUUGGAAGUCACAUUGAAAAUAAAAUAUAUAUGACCAAAUCAUAAAUAGAAUAAUAUUUUAUUGAGUGAAAUGCAAUAAUUAUGUUGGGAUAUUGCUAUUAAUGGGCAACAACAUGUGCACCUAUCCUAAGAAGUAACGUUGUCAUUGUAAAAAAACUACAAUGAUAGUUGCACCAACCAUUGACAAAAAUGGUGCAACCCAUGUGCUGCCACCAUUUGUGCCAUAAUUAAUUGCCUCUUGUCUUACCAUUGAUGCAUAUAAAUAGAGGCAUUAUUUGAGAGCAAAAUGAGAGAGAGUAUGUGAAGAGAAUAAGAGAGAAACAGAGAAGAGUUGCAAUGGCAGCAGCUGCAAGAGCAGCAAUGUGAGCUAGGAGUUAAGUUUGAGUAAAGUAAUCCUCCUCCUCCAUGUAUUUGUUUUGUCUCCUUUCUCUAUAUCAAAUAAUAUGGACCUCUCCCGUGGAUGUAGGCGGUUUUCCGAACCAUAUUAAAUAUUUUAUCAAUGUGUUAAGCCUCUAAUGGGCAACUAUCAGUACAUCACCGGUCAGAUUCCCCAAUAAUUGGUAUCAGAGCAUAUGGUUUAAAGUGGUGUUUGAUUUUUGGUCAUAAUUGAAAGUUGUCAAAAGUGUAUUUUGACCAUACCACCGUGUAGAGGAGGAAGAGACGAGCACACUGGUGAAAAUGACAUAAAAUUCUGACAUCGAACAUGGUCGCACACGCCCACACGCGCCGACGAGGUGGCUGUCCACACGCACAGACUCGUGCCACAUGUUUUUUUUGCCCGGAUGGGCUGACCCAACCCGAAUACCAAACGACCCAACCCAUGUGACUGACCCAGAUAAGGAUGACAUCAGGGUGACGUCACCAUGGCGUCAGCAUGCACAAUUGGCAUGCCAUGUCAGCACCCAGUCAGCAGACACGUCAUUACGGUGGGACCUGCCAACCACGUCAUUAGCCAUGAGCCGAGCAGAGUUCGAGUCGAGCCACGAGCUUAGGGAUAGGAUUCUGUGUAGCGGAGUCUACGUGCAACCGAAUAUGAGAUUGAAUCUGAGUCGUCGAUUAGGCUAGACUUGUUUUGAUCAAAUCUUAGCCGUCUGAAAUGCAAUUUGGAUGAUUUCAGACUUGUUUCCAGCUAAUUUGAUCGUUCCGGAUGCAAUGGUAUUGUGCGAUCGUUAUGAUUUGAGACCGAAAGUGGUGGUGGUGAAUUAUUAUGAGAGAUUGCCCAAUCAAGAGACAACUGAAGGUCAUCAUGGUGAUCGAUGGAGAUGAAGAAGAAGAAGAUGCACAUGUUUACCUAAUUACAUGUGUUGAACUGUUAAGUGGGGAAAUUUUAAAUGCCUUGAAGGAAGGCAAAAUUAGGAUACUCUAAACACUCGAUCAUGUGGACAAUUUGAGGUGGAGAGUGAAAACUGAUGAAGACCAAUCUUGAUGAAUCUAUGCACUGGUAGUCUCGCUAGAUGUUGAGAAAUCAGAUAUAAAACUAGGUUACCCAGAUCACUUGUAAAGGAAAGCUGCAAUAAAGCUAGCAAAUGGUUGUAUAUACGGAAAGGCAGUACAAUAGAUAGAUAUGGCCUAAAAAGUUUUGGCUAGGAGAUUAGGUUUUAAACGGGACCAUCGUGACCCCUCCAAUCUUUCCUAGGAACUUGCUUAGUUGAAGGAUUAUCCAUACGAUACUAUUUUCAUAUAUGUAAUAGUUUGUAAUGAAAUAGGUGAAGACUAGCAUGAUGACAGCACAAGGGGAACAGUUGGGUUCCGUGUGAUCAAGGAUCUGAUGGAAUGGUGAUUUCUCUAAAGAAGUUAGAUUUGGUGAAUGUAAUUUCUCGAGGGAAGAAUUGAUGAAGACCUUGAUAAUGGAAGAGAAAUACAACAAAGGGAUAAAGAUUGACACCCUAUUUUGACUUGGAUAGGUGUUCUGACAGGAUGAGUUGCUGUCAAACAUAAGCAAGGAAUAGGGAGAAAUCUGAAGAAUAGAAAUUGCACGAGGGCACACGGAGAUUGUGCAGGAGUACCCGUAGGAUCCAACGAGGUACUGUAAGGAGACAACAAGUGCAAGGAGAAGAAGAGUUCCCAGAUGAAACUCAGAGCAGAGACUGUGUGAAAAGUUGUACAACAGGAAGUCUCUUGUGCUCUUAAUAAAGACAACAGGCGAAGACCUUUCCAAUGCAUGAAAUGAUGAAAGAGAGUUGUUGUGAAGGCACCUAAUUAAUGGGGUGCUAAUGCCUGUGAUAAAAGGCGACCCGCCUAUAAUGAAAAGUGAAGAGACUAAAGGAAGUUGGUGUAGGUGGAGCUAUCAAGCAGAAAGGUGUAGAAGCUCCAAACAUAGAAAUCGAGGUGGAGGAUUGCGAGGACUGUACCACAACUUUCUCUUUCUAUAUGAUUAGUGGCAGUGAUCUCUCCCAGGUCCAUAUAGUGGUAGAGAAUCUUAGAGCAACUACAGCCAUCCCCGAUGAAGGAGGAUGAGACCGCUCCACAAUGAGCGGGGACACCUUAGAUAGAAGGUGUGAGGGCCACAAUGUGAGCCCAGAUUUAGACCGACGCAAGAUGACAGGUGAAGACACCUUAGAGAAAGUGUGAGGGCAAUGACCUCAAUUUUUUUUUUCUAGAAAGCUAAGACAAUUUCCUACAACUUUCAUGUUUUCAAGUGGUCUCAGUUCUGAUGCUAGAAAUUUCGUUUUUUUCAGACAAGAAGAGAAGGAUUUUCACCAAGUCAGGAGUUGGCAACCCAUUCAGCAGUUAGUCAUCAAAUCAAUAAUUUCAAAUUUUGGCCUAUAAAAGGAGGCAUUUGCCAUGCAUUUAGGGUCUUGAUUGUUCAGAUCAAGAACUUGCUCUUCCUCUCUCUUUAUAUUUUUUUUGUAAUCUUUAAGUUUUGUUUUCAUUAAUAUCUUGUUUAUGCUUUUCAUUUCCUCUACUUUACUUAGUUAACUUGUAUUUUCUUUAUGUUCUUAUUUUGUUUAUUUAUGUUUCUCUUCUUCAUUAUGUUUAGCUAAGUUUAUUAUGUCAAGGUGAAAAGGUUACACUAAUGGUGUAAGAAUAAGUAUGGUGUAAACUCAACAUGGACCUUAAUGUUUAAUACUAACAUAUCUUAUCUUUUUAUCUUACUAAUUCUUAAUACCUUGCUUGUUAAAUGGUUAAUCUAGAUUUGUGUUGUAUAACACUUGAUACAACAAAUGCUUGGCACUCUCAUAGCUCAAUCGUAUGGUAUUACCUACACUUGUGCUAUGAAAGGAACUUGAUUUGUUGUUAACAUAAGUUAGCAUCAUGAAUUCCUGACAAUAUUUAAAAGUUUGGUUUUACUUAAAUAAGAUAAUUAAUAUAAUCAUGUUAAUAAUUAAUGACAAAUCAUCUGAUUGGAACCUCCUUUGUGUGUGGUUUUCAAUUUGAGUAAUAAGAGUUUAUACUAUACUUGUUUGAAAUACCAUUAGUGGAUCCUCUAACCUUGACACUUGUUUUUAUUAUUGUUUAAUUCUUACAUUGAUCUUCCAUAUUAAAAUUCUCAUCAACUUCUUCCUCUUCCUCUUCCUCUUCUUCUUUAUUAUCAUCAUCAUCAUCAUCAUCAUCAUCAUCAUCAUUAGUAUUAUAAUAUUACUAUUACUACUGUCAUAACCCAAUUUUUGAACAAAUAAUAAAAAUUAAAUAUAGUUAACAAUUGGGUUAAGACAACAAAUCUUGAAGUUUAUGGAUAAAAUUAUCAGAUUUGAGAAUAAAUUGAUCAGAAAUUGAAGAAUUAAUAAGUUUGGAAAUUUACUUAAAAUUUGAAUUAGUUUAAUUAAUGAAAUUAUAAGAAUUAAUAAGUUUGUGGACUUAAUUAAACUUUGAUUUAAUUAAUUAAAUAAAUUCAGGGACUUAAUUGAAAUUUAUCCAAAAAGGGCAAAAUUGAAAGAAUUAAUUAAGGACCAAAUUGAAUAAUCCAAGAAUUAAGGACUGUUUUGUAAAUAAUGCACCAAUUUAGGGAUUUAAUUGAAAUUUAUCCAUAAAGGGCAAAAUUAAAAGAAAUUUUUAUUCAGGGGUCCAAUUGCGAAAUUUCCAAAGUUCAGGGGUCAAAUUGAAAAUUGUUAAACGGUGCCGUUUGCAAUAAUACUGUUCGUCAUCCCUUCCAUUUCGCCAGGGCAGCCGAUUCAACAGGAAAAUCCCAGUGCAUCAGAUCCAAAUCGUGACCAUGUCUUCUGCCACGAUUGCCACAAUCCCGUAGGUGGAGGCGAUGGUUUUUUGAAGGUCUCUGGCCUUAUAAAAGGCAGGACGAAGAAAACACCAAGGAGAGCUAAAAAAAUACAGAGCAGAAAUACAGAGUAAAAAAAGACAAAAAUCAACCCAGAAAAACAGAGAAAAACAGAGUACAAAUCCAAAUACAGAGAGAAAGAGAGAACAAGAGGGCAGCACACAGGGAGGAGAAUUAUCCUUGAAACUGUUCUUGUACCUGCAAACAAAGCAAAAACCAGAUUCAGUCAAAAAAAAAAAAACACUUACAGCAAACCGGCAUCUUCUUUGUAGUUUUAAAAAUUUACUGAGAAAUCAAGAAGGAAAGCACCGACAAGUGAUCGCAGAAGGAAGAUCAGAGGAAGCAGUAGACGAGAAAUCAUCAUUAACGCUGCAAGCACCUUCGGUCUCCAGAAGCAGGUAUGACGGGAUCCCCUUUGCAUCUUCAUUUUAAAAAGUGGUGAUUAGUGUUACAAGAACACUGUGUGCAGGUAAUUUAAUUAUCUUCACCAGUGUUCGUGCACGCGUGCCUCUAAUUUUUGCCCAGCCGGGUCACUGGCCCAAGCCAGUGACCCGGGCGGGGCUGGCUGGGCCCAGCCCAGCCCUGUGGGUUGAGCUGAGCCCAGCCACCAAGAUACAUAUGCUGGGCUGGGUUUUAGCCCAGUCCAGCCCCAAAAAAUAAAAUAAAAAAAAUAAAAAUAAAAAUAAAAAAAUAAUAAAAAAUGCACAUGCAUGAAUAAAAAUAAUGUAAAUUUAUUGGUUUAUUCACUGACGCCAGAGUCAGGAAUAAAAAACACCGGUUUAAAUUUAUAUUAUUUUUAUUCGUUGUAUUUUAUUUUAUUUAGAUGAAUAAAAAUAAUGUAAAUUUAUUGGUUUAUUCACUGACGACAGAGUCAGGAAUAAAAAUAUCAGUUUAAAUUUAUAUUAUUUUUAUUCGUUGUAUUUUAUUUUAUUUAGCUAGAAAAAUAAAAAAAAAUAUGUGCAUGCGUAAAAAAUAAAUUUAUUAUUUAUUUAUUUAUUUAUUCACCAGUGCUAGAGUCGGGAAUAAAAAAUAUUGAUUUAAUUUAUUUUAUAGCUACGUAAUAUUUAUCAACGCCAGAGUUGAAAAUAUUCGUAGUUAAAUAUUCACUGGCGCUAGAGUCAGGAAUAUUAUAAGUAAUUUUUCAUAGCAUAAACUAAUAAACAUUUAGCAAUUUAAGACGAAACUAGCAAUGUAGCCUGUCUUAGGCAGGACGUUUAAUGGGUGAUAAUAUCUUUCAUUUUACGUAACCAGUCCCGAACCAUAUAAUCUUUGUUGACCAGUUGGAGUUCCUAAUGACCAUAAUACUAGGUGGCGACUCCUUAAACAAGACCAUUCCCCAUUCAAGUAAAGAAUGUCAGAAAUCCGUUCUUUCCUAAAGAUUUAAAAAAUUUUAAGGUCGCCGCGAUGUCGGGUGCGACAACUACUAUUAUUAGUAGUAGUAUUAUAACUAUUACUAUUACUAUUAUUGUUGUUAUUAUUGUUGUUGUUGUAUUAUUGUUUUUUAUAAUUUAUACAAUUAACCUCCAUGUGGUUCGACCCCGGUUUUACCGGGUUAUUUAUUACUUCGACACUCCUGCACUUGGGAGAAGACAUCAAUCUUUUAGUCGUGUCAAGUUUUUGACGCCGUUGCCAGGGAGGUAAAUUCUUAUACAAAUUAUAGUAUUUAUUUUAUUUUUUCUUUUCUAUUUUCUUGUAUUUUGAGGAGACGGAGGCUACAUGAUUGUGCAAACCCCUUUGGUUUAAUAUUGGAAAUGGAAGAGGUGGAGCUACAAGAUUUGGCGAGGAAGAGAAAAGUUGGAGAAAUUAGGAGAGAAUGGCUGGCCUUCAAUUGUAUGCAGGCUCUUUUCCAGAAAGAGAAGUAGAAGGCUUGUAUUGGACUUUCUUAGGAUGGCCAAGGAAAUAAUAACCAGUAUUUAUGUCUAUAGCAAUAUCAAUAAUGAAGGUAUAUUAACAUUUGGUGAUGGAGGAGCAUGGGAAUUAUUCCAAACCAAUUGAUAGAGCUUCUAUUAUCAAGCCUACUAGUUUAGUAAGGCUCACCAACAAAACACAAAAUGUUGCAGGGCAUGCAUUUUAUUCCAAACCAAUACAACACACAAAAAGAACAGGGAAAGAGCUCCCUGCAAGCCAAAAUGAUCAAAAAACUACUCAUCUAAAAUAAAAACUCUUAUACAAUCCAUCUCAAAACAUCCUCAGCAAGUCUAAUGUUCCUUUCCUUCUAUACAGUAUAAAUUAUGGAGCAUUAAAACCAAUAUAUAUAUAUUUGCUUUAACCCAUUGAAUCUCGUUAUUCUUCUCAUCGAUAUUUUUUAUUGAUAUAGCAUAAAUGAAGAUAUCAAUCGGUCUGUUUGUGUCUUUGAUCACUUAAAAUUUGUCUACAUGCUACGGUUUCUGUUCAAAAUUAAUAUAAAUUAUAUUUUAAAUUUUAUCUAAAAAUUUAAGCUUUUAGGUAAGAUAGUUAUUUGACAUGGUAUCAGAGUCUUGAUAACCAAGUGAUCAUGAGUUCGAAUCUCAUCAUUCUUAUUUAUUUGAUAAAUAUUAAGUACAAGGUAAUGUCGGUUUAUAUAAGUUUCAAGUUUAAAAGGCUUUCACUUGAAGAUAUAUGUUAGAAAAAUAUAAAUUAUAUUUUAAAAACUCUUCUAAAAAUUUAAGUUUUUAGAUAAAAUAAUUAUGAAUAUUUAGAGGAAUUCUAUGCGUUUUGUACACAUAAGUUAUUUAUGACAAAAUGGAAAAACCUGUUCCAGCUAUCUUCUUGUUAGAAAUCUUAGGAAAAUGACUAUUAAGUCCUCCAAUUACAAUCCUAUAUCAUUGAGCCCUCAAGUAGUAAUUUUUAUCAAUUGAGUUCUUAAAGUAUGCACUCUUCUCAAUUAUAGCCUUAUAUGUAAAGCUUUAAGAAAAAUAAUGUCAAAGUGAAGAGUCUUAUUUUAUUGCAUAAAACAUAUAUGUUGACAGAAUUCGUGAACAAGAUAUGAAUGAAAGGAUAUAAUCGAGAAAUCUGGAUAUUUUCAGGGUCCAAAUGUGAAAACUUGGGACUUUAUUUAGAGAUGAUUAAUUAGGUAUUGCCCUGUGGGCAUGUUAUGGAAAGUGUUAGAUUAGGAAAUAUUGUAUUAUUAAUGUAUUGAUUUAUCGUGUGUAGUAUGCUACACCGUAACACAUGUACUGCUCUAAUACUAUAAAUAACAGAGGUGGUUAUCUCAUUAGGUUAAGCCUCUCAAUUAUCACAAACCUUGUUUUAUUACAUGUACCUUGUAAUAAAACUUCUUGUUUGCCGCACUUUGUGUGUCUGUGUUGGUGAGAUAAUCUCUCUUCCAUGGUUCUCUAAAUAACUGAAAAAUGACUUAUCGAAGAACAACUGUCUUCGUGGCGUCAUCCUUAUACUUCUCAUUCACGAAUCAAUAUUCGUUGGGUGGGGGUCUCCGUUUUCAAUAGUGUUGGUGCCUAGGUACAAGUUAUCUUUGUGUCACACCCCUAUCAAACAUGAUUUACUUGGCUUUUCGGGAAUUGCUGUCUUUGCGUGUGGGUUGCGUGACCACGUGAUCACGAGGUUUGCAUCAUUUGGUAUCAGAGCUUGGCUCCAUUAAUCAGGUUAUAUCCUUCUGAAAUUUAUGUUCUUGUUGUUUCCGCAAAUAUUCCUUAGUGUCCAUUUUCUUCUUCUCCUUGAUUUUGCAGCAUAUCAAAAAAAAAAAUUAGUUAUUUUAUUUUGUUACAGUUCAAAAUAUAUCGGUAGCAAAAAAAAAAAAAAAAAAAAUCGUUCAAAAAGAUAUUUAUUGGUUUCUGCUGCAGAAAACUUAACAAGGGCAAAUUGGACCAAAUCAACUCGGAAUUAGCUCAAAUUUGAUACACUUAUUACGGGGGCCCUUAUCGCAUGAAAUAUUAAGUUUGAGGUCAAUUGGAUAUCGUUCGAUUUGGUUUUCAAUUUCAGGUCUAAUCAUGUCUGAUUCAUAUUGUUUUUGCGUCAAUAUAUCAAACCUUAUCGUAAAUUGCUCAAACUUCAUAUUCUGUCUAUUUGGGUUGAUAUUGCACUAUAUAUUAAAGUUUAGCUCAAUUAGACAUCAUUGACUUUAGGUUCCAGAUUCAGACUUAACUCGUCAUAAACGAGUCUGUUUUGCGUCAAGUUUUGAAAUUCGCUUUCUUUCUGUUGUUUUCAUUUUUUUUCUGCUGCAUAUUUGGGUGUUGUUUCAUCAUAUUUUGCUUAUUUCGUUUCUAUUUUUAUUCGAGUCUUCAAUUUCGUUUGUAUUUCGGAUAGAUUCGUUUGCUACUCGUGAGACUAUCAUCUCAGUUUUGUUUUUGCUUGUUUUCUGGUUUUUAUUACUUCUUGAGUCAUAUAUACAUAUUUGGAUUGCGCUGCUAAGAUUGGUUCUAUUUGGUGCUGGUUUUAGUUCUGCAAAACCUCAAGAAGGUGAGACGAGAGGUGUGAGCGUGUGAGGAUAUAAGAGUGUUUGAGUGAAACACGAGCGAUGCGAGGAUUUUUUUUGUACCACUAAUCAAUUUUUACAGGUACUAUCAUGUCAGAACAAAACAACACACCGUGCCCUCCCGAUGUAGAACUUAAAUUCCAAAUGCAAGCCAUGAUGAAGGUUGUUGUAACCCAUUUUCGGGUCCCCACAAAAAAAAUAAAAAUAAAAUAAAAUAAAUAGCCAAAGGAGGUUAGAAAAAUAACGGAAGGCAGAAGCACUCAGAAAAUGGUCAGAAAAAUCGGUAAAGGAGGUUAAAAAUACAAAGAUGGAUUUUUGACAAUAUAUUCUUAAAUGAUAAGAGCCCUGGUGGAUAAGAAAAUUUGAUUUUUGAGGAGAAAAGUCCAAAUUUGGAGAUUUAUGGACUUAAUUGGAUUUUUAAAUUGAAUUUAUAGAGGAUUUGAGUGCAAGAAAAAUUGAUUUUUAAGUCAAUUUGGGCUUUAAUUAGAAGAAAUUUAAGUUCUGGGGCCAAAAUAUAUUUUUAGGAAUUUAUUGGGUCAAAUCAGGGGCUUAAUUGCAUAAAUAUUGAAGUUUAAUGGCCAAUUAGAGACUUAAUUGAGAAAAUCCGAAACGCGGGACCAAUUUGGAAAAGGCGUGUAAAUAGGGGGGCUGUUUUGGAUUGAUCUGGGGUCAAAUUAAAGAAAUUGAAAACUGGAGGACUAAUUUAAACAUUGGCGCAGGGAAACCGGGCGACACGUCGCCUGUUACUGUUCACUUUCUUCCUCAGAAAGCUGCCUGAGUGGCUGUUUUCCAGGCGCAUUUUCCGGAUCGUGUGGCCUCCAAAUCCGACAAAACUUGCACCAACAUGUCCACAUGAAACCCCUUUAUCCCGGAGAAUGGUCCGGUCGGUUUGGAAAAGUUAGAAACGGCUCCGUUGAGUGGCUCAAAAUGGCCACCUCGGGCAGUUCACAGCCUGGAGCUGCCAAAUUUGGCAGCUCGAGGUGCACACUUUGAGCCAACAGUUGAGAUGUUUCCCAACUGAAUCAAGGGCUGCAAUUUUUCCCCAAUGUAGACAAUGCUGCCCUUUUGCACCGCCUAUAAAUAGAAUCUAUGUUGAAGACCUGAGGGGGGAGAAAAGGACACACAAAGUCGGACGAAAACCAGCCAUUACUGCCCAGUUUUCCUGCAACCAGCCUCUUUUUCUCUUUCCCUCUCCGCCGUUGGCCCUCAUCAACCACCACCAUCAUCGCUCGUCUUCUCACCGAAAUCUCCACCUCAAGAAGCCACCAAAACAUCACACACGGUGGUUGCAUCAUCUUCUCCCCAGACGUAGCAGCACCAUUGAAGAAAAGGCAGCAACCCGCGCCUCUGCUGCGAGAAGAAGAAGAACAAAGCCAUCACCGCCAGCUACCACUAUCUUCCUAGUCGACAACAGCACAGUUGGGAGCAGAAGGAGAAAAGGGAAGCAGAGGAGAACAUAGCUGAAGAGGAACACAGAGAAGAAAAGGAAGAAAGGCUGAACACCGCACUCUACAGUCACCGACCACCGUCCCAAGUCACUCCCCGACCACCACUACUAGCGCCUCCACAAAGCUGCCAUAGAGAGGGAAGAACAUUGCUGACUGAAGGAAACCAAGAGAAGAAGCAACGCCUCUGUAAAGGGGAAGAAGAAGAGAAAACAGCUGCUGUCAUCAAGCUUCCCAACCACUGCCACCGUCAGAACCACCAUGAGCCCCCAUUGGCUUCCUGUCCUCCGCCACCAGCAUCACUGGGAGUGUUCGCCAUCGACUUCAGCAUCGUUUCUGCCCCCAGGUUUGCACCCCCUUCGUCGCUGUGCAUGCACCAUUUCCUUGCAUUUCACUGUUCAAUUGAAAUAUAAUUCACUCGAACAGUGAAAUGCUAAUUCACUGUUCACAUCAACUAUAAUUCACGUGAAUAGUGAAAUGCUAUCCAUUGUUCGCAUCAAACAUAUGUCACUGUUCACAUGAGGCCUGCUGGGUUCAGCCCAGCCACGUGGGCCCCGCUGGGUCCAGCCCUAAAAAAAAUAUAAAAAAUAAAAAUUCUUCAAAUUUUAUUUCAAAGAAUUUGUGAUUUUUCUGUAAUUUUAUUACUGUAUUUUGGUCAAUAUCGGUUUGUAUUUUUAUAUUGUAAAGAUACAAAUCCGGUAUUAAAAUACCCGGUUUUCGUCAACAAAAAAAAAAUAUUUAUUUAAAAAAAUGUUUUGUUUUCAUGCAUACGGCCAAUACCCUAACAUGUUUUGAAUGUUUUAUAUAUAUAUAUAUAUAUAUAUAUACAAAAAUAUUGGAAGUUUUAAAAAUGUGUUUUUGCAUGGAUUUCUUAAACAUCAAAAAAAAAAAAAUUGUUUUCUUGCAUAUCUGGAUUUUACAACAUGUUUGUAAAACUCCAAAGGGUAUUGGUCAAUAUUCCAAAAACUAUAAAAAUCUUAUUUUUGGGGGAAUUCAUCUAUUAUUCACCGCUAAUGUUUGGAUAAAGAAAUCCUUGAAGGACGAAUAUCCAAAAUAUUAUUGGGAGUAAUAAAUCCGCACACAUUCUUGAAAGAAGCCUUGAUUAUAAUCGAGGACAUUUCAAAACUUCAAAUUUUUUUACUCCAAGGUUUACGAACCUUGAAAGUAUGAAAUACUAAAGCAAAAGGAGGCUUUUAAAGCGCUUUGAAUUUCCUUAGAUUUCUAAAUUUUUUGUCUCUACUUCUUGCGAUUUACGAGUCGCAAACUCUUGAAAUACUAAGGGAAAAAUGAGCUUUCAAAGCACAUGGAAUCUCCUUGGAUUUCUAUCCAAAUAAAUUUUAUUUGAAUCAAACCUAGGAAAAUUGAUGGGAUUAGAAAACACCAACACCAUAGCAAUUAUAGAGCAAACCAAACACCAAGCAGCUUACCUUAGGUAGGGCGUACUAGGGGUGCUAAUACCUUCCCUUUACGGAACCAGUCCCUUACCUUAGAAUCUCUGAAAGACCAGUUAGGGUUCCUAGUGACCGAAAUACUAGGUGGCGACUCCAAAGAACCAAAUCAGUAAAACAAAACGAAAAAAUCGCCAUUCGAUCGCCGCAUUGGAUUUUUUUUAGGGUGCGACAGAAUGACGACUCCACUGGGGACCCUUGGACUAAGCUUGGUUAUUGUUUUUUUAUUAUGCUAUGUGUUGUUGUUUUUCUUUUUUUACUAUGAAUGGUUUGCUUUGUUUAAAAGCUUUAGCAUACAUCUUUACAUUCUAUCAUAUAUGGCAUAGUCAUGCAUCACUUUAUUAUUAUUAUUAUUAUUAUUAUUAUUAUUAUUAUUAUUAUUAUUAUUAUUAUUAUUAUUAUUAUUAUUAUUAUGUUUUGGAGGGCACACACAUGUAACUUUAACAUUAAGUGGGGGACUAGCAGCUUGCCUUAUGACUUGAGUCAAGGUUUAAGUUUGUGUAAACCCCAACUCUUUGCUGAGUGUUUAGACUGAUUGUGAUUGGUACACGUACCAUCCCACUAUCUGCUAGACCUCCAUAUCGCCUUUACGAGGGUGAUCACUAGACCAGCAAGAGACCCUUUUUUAGAGACUCAGUAGUAAACAUACCCAAUGUCUCACAUAAAGGAACUAGAGCCUAUCCUUAGGAUGUAUGCUCCAUAAUAUCUUUUUGCAUCCAAACAAGCCUAAGCUCAAAGCAUCUUGAAUCUCAAGACCUUUAUUCAAAAGCUAGCCAAGGGAGAGAUGUUCUAGAAUUGGGAGACCCAAGAAGCUCCAUUGGUGUUCAAAAUUUAAUCAACAAUGCUUGUUUGAUCAUGAUAUUGUGUUGUUUUCCUUUUUCAACUUUUUAAAUCGAGGUUCCAAAUGCCUUUCCAAAAGUUCAUCUUGGUGUUUUUACACAUCAUUUUUCUUUCAAAACGAAUCUUCCAUAACUACACCUGCACUUUACACUGAGAAUGAAUGGCCGGACUUUAAAGAAUCCAUAUUAGUUGUAGAAGAGGAAGAAUGGUAGGAAAAUAACAUUAGGGGAUUCACAAAAACAAACAACAUGAACAAGCUUGGAAACCCGCUACAAGGUCAUGCCGUUUGGGUUAAAGAACGUUGGGGCACCUACCAAAGGGCUAUGUUGACUCUAUUUCACGACAUGAUGCAUAAAGAGAUUAAAGUAUACGUGGAUGACAUGACCUAGAGAGGGAGAGAAUCAUGUCCAAAUAUUGAAGGAAUUAGUUGAAAGACUAAGAAAGUACAGGUUGAGGUUUAACCAUGCAAGGUGUUCAUUUGGGGUGAAAUCUAGGAAGUUGUUGGAAUUUAUGAUGAGUGACAAAGGGAUAGAAGUGGACCCCGAUUAAGUAAAGGUUAUUCAACCUAUGCCAACUCCCAAGACUAAGAAGGAUGUAAGGAGGUUCUUGGGAAGGUUGAAUUACAUUGCUCAAUUUAUAUCCCAAUUAACCACGACUUAUGACCUCAUCUUCAAUUGUUAAGGAAGAAGAAUCUUGGAAUUUGGAAUAAGAAUGUGAAGAAGCUUUCACGAAAAUCAAGCAAUACCUACUGAAUCCACCCCUAUCUAUCGAGUUGAAUUGAAAAACGGCAAGUUCUACUAGCUGAGUACAACAUAGUAUAUAUGACAAGGAAAGCCAUGAAUGUCAUUGCCGAUCACCUAGCUGACCAUGUUGUGAAAGUUUAUGGGCUGUUAAAAUUUAAUUUUUCGGAUAAAGAUAUGCUUUCAGUCGAGGAAGGGAAAAUCAGAUUGUUGGAUUAUGUACUUUGAGGGUGUUGUGGUAAUAGAGUAGGGGCAGUGCUAAUCUUUCCUAAUAAGAAACAGUAUCCGGUUUUAGUUAAGUCGCAAUUUGGGUACACUAACAACACAACUGAGUUUGAAGCUUGCAUUCUCGAUUUUAGAGGUUGCAUUAGAGCUAAACAUCAAAAAGAUAGAUGUGUAUUGGAGACUCGAUUUUGAUUAUUUGUCAAAUGAAAGGAAAAAGGGCAAACCAAGGACGAGAAGUUGAGACCUUUCCAAGAAUACUUGUCUAAAUGGGCUAGAGAAUUUGAGGAAAUAAAGUUCACCCAUCUAGGAAGGGAAGGAAACCAUUUUGAUGUUUUGGUCACACCAGUUUCUAUGGCUAGAAUAGACUUUGGGCACAAGGUACAACCAAUACACAUUGAUAUAAGAAAUAACUUAGCUCAUUAUUGCUCAGUUUGAAAGAGAAAUAUAUGGAAACCCUUGGCACUAUGAUAUCAAGAAUUUCAUCCAAAACCAGACAUAUCCCAUGGGGGCAUCCAAAAACCAACAAGAAGACGUUGAGGAGGUUGGCAAUGGAUUUCUAUCUUGAUGGGGAAACUUUGUAUAAAAAAUCAUCUGAUGAAACUUUGUUGAGAUGUUUCGAUGACGUGAAAAAAAGUGGUGAAGAAAUUUAUGGAAAGAUAUUUGAUCUAUCGAUAUGGUCCACUAGAAAAAUUAAUAAAUGCCUAGAAUUUCAACGGCAAGAUGAUAAUGGAGCUCUGCACUAAAUGGAAAAUCAAGCAUUCCAAUUCUUCGCCAUAUAGACCAAAGAUGAAUGGUGCGGUAGAAGCUGCUAACAAGAAUGUCAAAAAGAUUAUUCAGAAGAUGGUAGUCACCUAUAAGGAUUGGCAUGAGAUGUUGUCAUUUGCCCUUCAUGCAUAUCGCACCGCAGUUCGAACCUUAAUAGGAGCCACCUCGUAAAUGUUGGUAUAUGGAAUGGAGGUGGUGAUGCUUUUAAAAGUGGAAAUCCCCUCAUUAAGAGUAUUGAUAGACUUUGAGCUAGAAGAGUUAGAAUGGGAGAAGGUUAAAUGUGAACAGUUGAAUCUGAUAAGUGAAAAGAGGAUAGCCGUAAUCUGUCAUCAUCAACUUUAUCAAAGAAGGAUGGCCAAAUCAUACAACAAGAGGAUUCGACCUUGAGGAUUGCACGAAGGAGAUCUUAUAUUGAAGAAAAUGUUGUCUUUUACCAGGAGAAGAUCAGAGUAAAUGGACGCCAAACAAUGAGGGCCCUUUAGUGGUAAAGAAAGUGUUUUUGGGAGAAGCUUUAUUGUUAUCUAGAAUGGAUGGAAAAGAGCUAGUUAGGCCCGUGAAUUCUGACUCUGUAAGGAAAUAUUACGCUUGAUGUAUUUCAUAAUUUCCCAAUCAAUAAAAUUAAAGUUCGGCCCAUGAAUUCUCUUUGUAAAGAACCUUUUUUUUUCAUAAAACAUAUGAUCUCAUAUCAUUUGAAAUCUUUUACUUAAAAGAACUUUUUUACGCAUGACCAAGGAGAUGACUCCAUCAAUUGGAGAAAACCAAAUCAAAUCUGCUUGAUAUAUUUUUUGCACACCACACUAGGGGGCAAGAAGUGCACGAAAUGCAUAUAGAGAUCUAAAACCAGCCAUACAUUCCCCCUCCUCGUCAUUUUCCUUUUUCUUCCUUCCCUCCCCGCCAACUGAAGCCAUUACAACCAUCUCCCAAACCAACCCUCUCUCAGCCUCACCCCAUCAGCAGCUCUCUUUCUCCACAGACAAAGCCUAGACAUCACCACCCUCACUCUUUGAAGAAGGAAGAGAACGGGACCUUCGAAGAAGGGAAGAGUUUUAAUUAUUGCAGCAACAACAGCAAGUUUCCUCCUUCGGCACCAGCGACGACCAUACCAGUAGAUGAGCAGUGCAACUCCUUCUUCUCCAGCACAUCAUCAUCGUUUAUGAAAUAAUAUGAGCCGUCCAGCAUGCACUCCUCUAAUAACAGCAGAUUUUUCAAUCAUGAACCGCAGCUUUGUCUUUAACCGUGGGAGUCUUUUAGUUCAAAACCGUGAUCAUCAACAAGAGUACUCCUAAGUUCCAGCAUUCUUGAUUUUCCAUUUUUUUUCAUUGAAGCAGCGACGACGGGUGCUCCUCAGCCAAACCUUCCCUCAGCAACCAUCUCUUUUCAGUAGAGGCAGGGCGGACACGAACAGGAGACUAGGAGAGAGUGGACUGAAGACACAAACCAGAGAAUAAAAAGACUGAGGAGAACGAACAAAAAAGAAAAGAAACCACAGGAGCAUACAACAUAUAUAGACAGAAACGGAGAAGGAGAGAAGGUAGCUUUGGCAAACAAGCAUACCUUCGCCAUCGUCUUCGUCAUCAGGCAGACUCCGAGAGAGAAAGUGAAAAACAGGAAGAAGCAUAGCGGAGAGCGUCCGUCGACCAACUUAACAUCUUCAUCGCCAACGUCUCCGGCUUCGCCUCCCUGCACAGGUAAGUUCUUUGCAUUUUCCCUUUCUGCAUUACAAUAGCUGUGAAUUAUAAUUCACGCUACAAUAGCUGUGAAUUAUAAUUCACUUGCUAUGCUACUGUAGCAAGUGCUAUAUAUUCCUAGCCUAAAAAAAAAAAAUAAAAAAACAAAAAAAAAAGGAUAAAAAAAAAAAAAUAUAUGUAUGCACGAAUAAAAAUAAUGUUAAUUUAUUAGUUUAUUCACUGACGCCAGAGUCAGGAAUAAAAAUACAAUUUAAAUUUAUAUUAUUUUUAUUCGUUGUAUUUUAUUUUAUUUAGCUAAAUAUAUAAUAUAUAUAUAUAUAUAUAUAUAUAUAUAUAUAUAUAUAUAUGUGUGUGUGUGUGUGUGUGCGCGCGCGCGCGCGCAUGCGUAUAAACAAAUUUAUUGUUAUUUAUUUAUUCACUGGCGCCAGAAUCAGGAAUAAAAAAGAUAUUGAUUUAAUUUAUUUUCUAGCUACGUAAUAUUUACCAACGCUUGGAAAUGAAUUGAUUUAAACCUGUUUCAGCUGUCUUCUUGUUAGAAAUCUUGGGAAAGCGACUAUUAAGUCCUACAAUUACAAUCCUAUAUCAUUGAGCCCUCAAGUAGUAAUUUUUAUCAAUUGAGUUCUUAAAGUAUGCAUUGUUCUCAAUUAUAGCCUUAUAUCUAAAGCUUUAAGAAAAAUAAUGUCAAAGUGAAGCAUCUUUUUUUAUUGCAUAAAACAUAUAUGUUGACAGAAUUCGUGAACGAGAUAUGAAUGAAAGGAUAUAAUCAAGAAACCUGGAUAUUUUCAGGGUCCAAUUGUGAAAAUUUAGGACUUUAUUCAUAGAUGAUUAAUUGUUUGGAGAUUAAUUUGUUAUUUGCCUCCCCCCUUUUUCUUUUUUUUUGCAUUCCUUGCAUGAAAUUUUGUUUGGAGAUUAAAAAAAAUCAGACCUUUUCCUUUAAUAAAUUAGAUUUUUAACUAAAAAUAUAAAAUUUUAAAUUUUGGCUCCCUCUAAUUUUGUUUUUCUAAUUUGACUCUCUCAAAUUAAAAUUUCUAGCUUCGUCCCUGAUUGGACGAAUUGAUGGAUGCCGAUGAAGCGUUUUGCACGGGAACUGCAGUAGGUGUUGCCCCUGUGGGCACGAUUACAUAUCAGGAUUGCUACUGUCAGAAUUGAAAAGGAAUUAUUAAAGGCAAGAGCCUAAAAAUGCCUCUUUUUAUUUCAAUUAGUAACUUUUUAUUUUUUGCAAUUAAUAUCUCCUUUUUAUUUGCAAUCUCAUCUUUUCAAAUUAAAUUAGCAUUGUUUUAUAUAUUAAUUUUUUUUCAUAUAUAUAUAUAUAUAUAUAUAUAUAUAUGCGCGCGCGCGCAUAUAUGUUUUAAAAUUAUUUUUUAUUUAAAAAUAUAUUAAAAUAAUUUUUUAUAAAUUUUUUUAAUUUUUAAUAUUCAAACAUCAAAACCGUUGAAAAUGAAUUAAUAUCUUGUCAAAUGUAUCGUGAUUUUGAAAAGUAAUUUUCAAAAACCUCAUGAAACCAAGAUGGGAAUAGGGUUGUGCAAGCUCGCAAGCAAUUAAUAUCCCAUCAACUCGAUCACGCGUAUGAAAGAGAUGCAUGUGAUUCCUGAUAACUAAACUAUCAAUUGAAUUGGAAAGAGAUUGGAAUCAUUGUUUGCGCAGGACAAAAAUGUUUGCAAUAGCGGUCAAACGGGCUAACAGGAACACACCCUCCUCCCUUCAUUUAUUCCUUACAAGACUUUAUGCAAUUUAAUGGAACCCUAAUAUUGUAGUUCUAGAACCAGUAGAAUCAAUGAUUUUACUUUUAGGAAGAAGGAAGAGUUAGAGAAGUUGCUUGUUGGGCAAUCUUACGUGUGGUUCUUGUUCUCAAUCUUGCUUGAAAGGUUUUUGCUUGUUCACAAGUGUCAAAAUCACUUUGAAAUUCCUACACUCCAUCGCCGGCUAUCGAGGUUGACGACAAGGGAAUUUUCAAGUCUUUCCAACCAGCCAAAAAUGCCACGAAUAAUCUUCUUUGGGUAUAUUCGUGCAUUCCAAUAUCCUUUUGUUUAGCCAACUUUGAUAUUUGAUUUAUUCUUUGCCUGUCCUACACCACAUGUUCUUGAGAUAGGCCAAUUUCAAGUCUUUAUAUCUUCCCAGUCAUCUUGGGGGGUUCUCACGAGCUCCAUCUUUUUGCUUCAACACUAUUCUUGUCUCAAAAGUUAGUUUCCCAGUUGCAAGUUGAUCUUAACUAUCAAGAUUCCAUGGCCUCCACGAUUUGUUUGUUUGUGUUGUUCUUGUUCUCUUCUAUGAUUGUUGGGGCUCAAAGUGUAGACUUCAUCUUCGAAGGAUUCAAUGAAAGUGAAAAAAACCUCUCAAAUGAUGGAGCUUCUAUUAUCACUCGUAGUGGUUUACUAAUGCUCACCAACAAAACACAAAACGCUGUAGGGCAUGCAUUUUAUUCCAAACCAAUACAGAUGCUUGACACAAGUUCACAUUCAUCUCCAAAUGCUUCAUCUUUCAGCACAACCUUUGUCUUUCAGAUAGUCUCUCCAAAAGGAAAGGGAGGCUACGGCCUUGCUUUCGCCUUAGCUCCCUCCGACCAGCUUCCCGGGGCUGCCGCGGAGCAUUACCUUGGUCUUUUCAACUCUUCAAAUGAUGGUAAUAGCUCGAACCA
RNAcentral lists this long non-coding RNA (20812 nucleotides) under Populus tremula. RNAcentral's name for it is "long non-coding RNA (PTRE_LNC001257)". Lineage: Eukaryota; Viridiplantae; Streptophyta; Magnoliopsida; Malpighiales; Salicaceae. The record is from RNAcentral.